Molecule: ribosomal RNA, 301 nt
Filed under: uncultured bacterium
Lineage: Bacteria
Description: partial 16S ribosomal RNA
Rfam family: Bacterial small subunit ribosomal RNA
Source: RNAcentral
CAGCCGCCGCGGUAAUACGAAGGGGGCUAGCGUUGCUCGGAAUGACUGGGCGUAAAGGGCGCGUAGGCGGUUUUGACAGUCAGAUGUGAAAUUCCUGGGCUUAACCUGGGGGCUGCAUUUGAGACGUCAAGACUAGAGUGUGAGAGAGGGUUGUGGAAUUCCCAGUGUAGAGGUGAAAUUCGUAGAUAUUGGGAAGAACACCGGUGGCGAAGGCGGCAACCUGGCUCAUUACUGACGCUGAGGCACGAAAGCGUGGGGAGCAAACAGGAUUAGAUACCCCCGUAGUCCCUGUCUCUUAUAC